GGUUAUGCAAGAAAGAGCGCAGGGUGGAUGCCUUGGCACUAAGAGCCGAUGAAAGACGUGAUAAGCUGCGAAAAGCUUCGGGGAGGAGCAAAUAUCCCGUGAUCCGGAGAUGUCUGAAUGGGGAAACCUACUGGAGAAAUCCUCCAGUAUCCAUACGCCAAUCCAUAACGUAUGGAAGGGAACCUGGGGAACUGAAACAUCUAAGUACCCAGAGGAAGAGAAAGAAACAUCGAUUUCCUAAGUAGCGGCGAGCGAAAGGGAAAGAGCCUAAACCAGAGUGCGAGCAUUCUGGGGUUACGGACCGCAAGAAGUGAGAGGAAUUUGUAGUAGAAUGGUUUUGGGAAAGCCAGCCAGAGAGGGUGAAAGCCCCGUAUACGAAACAAAUACUUAGCGAGCGGGAUCCAGAGUACCACGAGACACGAGAAACCUUGUGGGAAGUAAGGGGGACCACCCCCUAAGGCUAAAUACUACUUAGUGACCGAUAGCGCAUAGUACUGUGAAGGAAAGGUGAAAAGAACCCCGGGAGGGGAGUGAAAGAGAACCUGAAACCCUGUGUUUACAAGCUGUGGAAGUGCAAAAGCACAACCGCGUACUUUUUGUAGAACGGUCCGGCGAGUUACGUCUACUGGCAAGGUUAACUUCUUAGAGGAAGGAAGCCGAAGGGAUACCAAGUGUGAAGAGCGCGUAAAGUCAGUAGGAGUAGACCCGAAACCGGGUGAUCUAUCCAUGUCCAGGUUGAAGUUUCCGUAAAAGGGAAUGGAGGACCGAACUCACAUCCGUUGAAAAGGGUGGGGAUGAGGUGUGGAUAGGGGAGAAAUUCCAAUCGAACCCGGAGAUAGCUGGUUCUCCUCGAAAUAGCUUUAGGGCUAGCCUCGAUGGAGUCUGGUGGAGGUAGAGCACUGAAUUUCCUAGGGGGCGUCAAAGCUUACCGAAGAAUAUCAAACUCCGAAUGCCAUACAGAUGCUCAUCGGGAGUCAGACGGCACGAGAUAAGUUGGGUCGUCGAAAGGGAAAGAGCCCAGACCUACAGCUAAGGUCCCAAAGUGCGUGUUAAGUGGAAAAGGAUGUGGGAGUUCGAAGACAACUAGGAUGUUGGCUCAGAAGCAGCCAUACAUUCAAAGAGUGCGUAAUAGCUCACUAGUCGAGAGGUCCUGCGCCGAAAAUGUCCGGGGCUAAAACACGACACCGAAGCUUAGGAAUGUACGAAAGUAUAUUGGUAGAGGAGCAUUCUUAAAGAGGCGAAGCAGUACUGGAAAGAGCUGUGGAUUUUUAAGAAGAGAGAAUGCCGGAAUGAGUAGCGAGAUGGAGGUGAGAAUCCUCCAGACCGAAUAUCCAAGGUUUCCAGGGUAAAGCUGAUCUGCCCUGGGUAAGUCGGGACCUAAGGCGAGGCUGAGAAGCGUAGUCGAUGGAGAACAGGUGGAAAUUCCUGUACUUUCAAUAAACAGAACUGUGGGGACGCAGAGAGAGAGUCAGAGCUGGGAAUGAGAAGACCAGUACAAGCGAGGUACCAGUAUAGUAGGAAAAACCGCUAUGCAAUGGGAAGACGUGAAGUGGACCGAAAAAUAGUAGGGAAGCUGAUGAGCUAGCUGCCAAGAAAAGCCGCUAUUGAUUUAUUGAAACCCGUACCGUAAACCGACACAGGUGGAUGAGGAGAGAAUCCUAAGGUCGACGGGAGAAGCAUUGUUAAGGAACUCGGCAAAAUGACCCCGUAACUUCGGGAGAAGGGGUGCCAGAGAGAUCUGGCCGCAGAGAAUUGGCCCAAGCAACUGUUUAGCAAAAACACAGGUCUAUGCAAAACCGAAAGGUGAGGUAUAUGGGCUGACGCCUGCCCGGUGCUGGAAGGUUAAGGGGAGAUGUCAGGAAACGAAGCAUUGAACUUAAGCCCCAGUAAACGGCGGCCGUAACUAUAACGGUCCUAAGGUAGCGAAAUUCCUUGUCGGGUAAGUUCCGACCCGCACGAAAGGCGUAAUGAUUUGGGCACUGUCUCGACAAUGCACCCGGUGAAAUUGAAGUACCAGUGAAGAUGCUGGUUACCCGCGCCAGGACGGAAAGACCCCAUGGAGCUUUACUCUAGUUUGAUACUGGGAUUCGGUAUUGCAUGUACAGGAUAGGUGGGAGGCGAAGAAGGUAUGACGCCAGUUGUACUGGAGCCGACGUUGGGAUACCACCCUUGCAGUACUGGGUUUCUAACCAGCUACCGUUAUCCGGUAGUGGGACAAUGUCAGGCGGGGAGUUUGACUGGGGCGGUCGCCUCCGAAAGGGUAUCGGAGGCGCUCAAGGGUUCCCUCAGAAUGGUUGGAAACCAUUCGAAGAGUGCAAAGGCAGAAGGGAGCUUGACUGUGACACCGACGGGUGGAGCAGGUACGAAAGUAGGACUUAGUGAUCCGGUGGUAUUAAGUGGGAAUGCCAUCGCUCAACGGAUAAAAGCUACCCUGGGGAUAACAGGCUUAUCACUCCCAAGAGUUCACAUCGACGGAGUGGUUUGGCACCUCGAUGUCGGCUCAUCGCAUCCUGGGGCUGGAGUAGGUCCCAAGGGUUGGGCUGUUCGCCCAUUAAAGCGGUACGCGAGCUGGGUUCAGAACGUCGUGAGACAGUUCGGUCCCUAUCCGGCGCGGGCGUAGGAUAUUUGAGAGGAGCUGUCCUUAGUACGAGAGGACCGGGAUGGACUAGCCGCUGGUGGAUCGGUUGUAGAUCAAAUGCAUGGCCGAGUAGCCAAGCUGGGAAGGGAUAAACGCUGAAGGCAUCUAAGCGUGAAGCCCCCCUCAAGAAGAGAUAUCCCAUUUGAAAGAAGUAAGACCCCUUGAAGACGACGAGGUAGAUAGGGCAGAGGUGGAAGUACAGUAAUGUAUGGAGCUGACUGUUACUAAUCGGUCGAGGGCAUAACCUG
This is a ribosomal RNA of Clostridiales bacterium CHKCI001, 2886 nucleotides long. It matches the Rfam family "Bacterial large subunit ribosomal RNA". The record is from Rfam. NCBI's taxonomy places the organism in Bacteria, Bacillati, Bacillota, Clostridia, Eubacteriales.